This 1672-nucleotide ribosomal RNA is filed under the name Triticum aestivum (bread wheat). RNAcentral describes it as "partial small subunit ribosomal RNA". The record is from RNAcentral. Lineage: Eukaryota; Viridiplantae; Streptophyta; Magnoliopsida; Poales; Poaceae.
GAGCACAAACGUGUCGACACGGCAUAGGGACCGUCAUAAGCCCAGCCAGAGCCUAUCCUUUGCUCUCCGCCCCGCCCCUCAGUGUGUUUUGAUAGGAUGACUGAAGAGUCGGUUCAGUGGAGGCAAGGUACCACACGGUACGACUGCGACUACCGCCGGCGGCGACGUCGUCGCGGCCUGGUUAGGAAGAAGAGGGCGAGGGCGGCGGGGUGCGUCGGCGGAUCGGACAAGUUUCGGCCGGCGAGGCGGGAGGGCGGCGACACACCGUCGCCAGUCUCGGUAGUGAGGAGCGUGACAGCGACAGUGACGAGGACCUCGUCGUGGGGCGUGCGUGCGGCCUCGUCGGUUACGGCACGGUCACGCUGCGGCCUGGUGGGCCUGCUCGGCGGCAGCAGCCCCUCUCCGCCGGCAAUGGUAGGAACCCUCCUGUAGCGGCUCUGCGAAGUCGAGCUGCUGCCUCUCGGCCGCGCGGAGUGGCUGCGGCUUAGGCGGGCUUGUUAGCAGCUCCACUUGUUGUUACGUUGCCACUACUAGAGGUGCGAGUAGCUACUGCCACACGUGCUCUCCUAGUAGAACGGCCUCAAGGGGAUGAACUGACUGCUCUUACCUCUAUAAAUGAAGCUCCAGCUGUUGCUGCUGCACCAGUACCUUUUGUAAUACCCGCUGCUGUUCUAACGCGUACAAUAGUAACCUGAGCUAUUGUGUCUACAGAAACGACUGAACCUAGAUCGUCGCCGCAGUAGCUGAAGUAAACGUGUUCUUCUUCUUCUCCUCCUCCUUCUCCUGCUACUAAGGUUGCUAAGACUGCUACUUAUACUCCUCCUCCCAUAUAUACGACAACUACUUCUUCUGCCCCUACUGCUGCCGCUACUACUACUUCUUCUACUGCUACGUGGAUUGACCAGGUUGGAACUUUGGCAUUUAAGGACAGUAGGUGAUAUGAAACGCUCCUACUAACACCUCUUACGCUCGUUUAGUUCAUAUCUAACCAACCUGGCUGGUGGACGUUCGGAACAACAACUCCCAGUCGACUCUGGACGCAAACGACUUCUCUCGUGGUACCAAAGGUCCGUAAAUAAUUUACCACUACUUGGUGAGUUUCUGCUGUUUUUCCCUUCACCCCGAUGUAAAAAGUUCCAACUUCAAGACUCGUAACUCGACUAGUGACGUAUACCAUGUCUCGGGUUCCAUUUCUAUCUUCUUAUGGCCUUUAGAUCUGGGCUGUAGUAGCGCGUGAGACGUGGUUUGUAUUAUAGUGCGAACUCUCGGCCACCUCUGUUCUAUUGUGUUCGAGACUUUAGUGAGACAACCUCCACGUUCCGGUAAGUUCAUCUCCUUCGUCGUUAGUAGCCGCAGCUGACGGAACCCAAACUGAACUCUGACACGAGUCCUUGUGUUCACGUCUGUGACUCUAAACGAAAGGGAUGUUUCCGAUCAAGCCUCAAGUCGCGUCUCUUCGUUUAUGUGCUCGAAGACAAAGGAUCCUCCUAUGUAGUUCUUCCCCUCAGUGGUGUCCGAGUUGGGUUUCUCAUGACUACAUUUGUCUCUACACUGCAAAACAAGAAAAAGAUCCUUUAAAUUAGGUCGUUGUGUUUAUCGUCAUCGGUAGAACUACUUCAAGAAAGCUUAAGUGUAACACUAAAACCAGUAACUCGUAGACGUGCCUGCUGUA